This 253-nucleotide ribosomal RNA is filed under the name uncultured bacterium. RNAcentral describes it as "partial 16S ribosomal RNA". It matches the Rfam family "Bacterial small subunit ribosomal RNA", at positions 524 to 776 of the family's 1533-position model. The record is from RNAcentral.
UACGUAGGGUCCGAGCGUUGUCCGGAAUUACUGGGCGUAAAGAGCUCGUAGGUGGUUUGUCGCGUCGGGAGUGAAAACGCCGGGCUUAACUCGGUGCUUGCUUUCGAUACGGGCAGACUGGAGGUAUGCAGGGGAGAACGGAAUUCCUGGUGUAGCGGUGAAAUGCGCAGAUAUCAGGAGGAACACCGGUGGCGAAGGCGGUUCUCUGGGCAUUACCUGACGCUGAGGAGCGAAAGUGUGGGGAGCGAACAGG